CCCGAUGGCCGAGCGACCGCAGUAGCAGCACGCCCCCGACUGCCUACUCCGACGCCUCCCCCUUCACGCCGCUCGGCCCACCCUACCGCACUGGUCGCUCGGCCCAGAACCAAUCCCCUCCACAUCUGCGCCUCCACUCUCCUCCAUCGACAGGUCCGCUAACCGCUCCUCCCAUCCUCCCAGGCUUGCCUCGACGCCGCCCCACAGCCGCGCUCCCACACCGUCCGCUGCAACACCUUGCCGUGCCUCACACUGGAGCCGCCGUCCCGCCCGCAACUCCUCGCCUUGUGGCGGCGCCCGGCACGCACGCCCUGCACCGGCGCCUCUCCGUCGUCCGACCGUCUCGCGAGGCCACGCGACUCGCGUGCUCGAGGGAGGCGAGGCGAAGUGGUCUUGGGUCUUUGAAGCCACUACGUGUUUACAGUUUCAGUCAUUGCACAUGGUACUAUUCAUUCACCCUGCACGAGAGCAGCCGAGGCUCGACAAACCCUCGGCAAGAAAAGACUUCCACCGAAAGGCAUGAACAGUUCUUUCUAGACAUCCCUAUCGUUUCCUUUCCUUUGUAUCUUCAGAAUCCAUCGCAAUUGAUUUUACAGAGAGCAAUUCAUCUUUGGCUCACCACUGAAGAAAUUUGUAGCACCUGAUUUGUGUAGCAUGAUUUAUUUUUUCAGCGACUUUCAAGUGAGAUCCCCGUCCAUCUUUCAGACAUCUACUAGAAUCAAAUUCAGAGAAUCCCUUCUCAAGAAUAGAAGAUUUGUCUUCA
Aegilops tauschii subsp. strangulata is the source of this 763-nucleotide non-coding RNA. The record is from RefSeq and is a predicted model, not a curated record. Lineage: Eukaryota; Viridiplantae; Streptophyta; Magnoliopsida; Poales; Poaceae.